AGCAGCCGCGGUAAUUCCAGCUCCAAUAGCGUAUAUUAAAGUUGUUGCAGUUAAAAAGCUCGUAGUUGAAUUUCGGGGUUAGUAGGUUGGUUAUGCCUCUGGUAUGUACUGGUCUCACUGAUUCCUCCUUCCUGAUGAGCCGUAAUGCCAUUAAUUUGGUGUCAUGGGAAAUCAGGACUGUUACUUUGAAAAAUUAGAGUGUUUAAAGCAGGCUCACGCUUGAAUACAUUAGCAUGGAAUAAUGAAAUAGGACGUUCGAUCCUAUUUUGUUGGUUUCUAGGAUUGACGUAAUGAUUAAUAGGGAUAGUUGGGGGCAUUAGUAUUCAAUUGUCAGAGGUGAAAUUCUUGGAUUUAUUGAAGACUAACUACUGCGAAAGCAUUUGCCAAGGAUGUUUUCAUUAAUCAAGAAC
This 410-nucleotide ribosomal RNA is filed under the name uncultured Glomeromycotina. RNAcentral describes it as "SSU rRNA". It matches the Rfam family "Eukaryotic small subunit ribosomal RNA", at positions 569 to 984 of the family's 1831-position model. Lineage: Eukaryota; Fungi; Glomeromycota. The record is from RNAcentral.